RNAcentral lists this ribosomal RNA (256 nucleotides) under uncultured bacterium. Its description in RNAcentral is "partial 16S ribosomal RNA". It matches the Rfam family "Bacterial small subunit ribosomal RNA", at positions 524 to 776 of the family's 1533-position model. The record is from RNAcentral.
GACGUAGGUGGCGAACGUUAUCCGGAAUCAUUGGGCGUAAAGGGUGCGUAGAUGGCAUGAUAAGUUAUUAGUGGGAAAUCGAGGCUCAACCUCGUGGAAGCUAGUAAUACUGUUUUGCUUGAGUACAGAAGAGGUUAACGGAACUCCAUGUGGAGCGGUAAAAUGCGUAGAUAUAUGGAAGAACAUCAAUAACGGCGAAGGCAGUUAACUAUUCUAUUCCUGACACUGAGGCAUGAAAGCGUGGGGAGCAAACCGG